ACGCGCUAAACUUAAACAUAUCAGUCGGCGCACGCAAUAGAAACUAACCAGGAUUCCCUUAGUAACGGCGAGUGAAGUGGAGAUAUAUAAGUUCAGCCCAACGAUAAAAUCUAUGGUUAGCUGGCUAGGCUUCUGUCUUCCAGCUGCCAGGAAUUGUAGCAUCGUAAUACUUAAAACACACACACUAUGUUUUAAAAUAUAAAAUCAAUGUUGUAUCUGACUCAACGUAUGAUAUCAUUGCAAUCUAUACAUUCUUACCUAAACACACAGCGUUUAGCGUGGAAAGCAAGUCUAUAUCAUGCCAUAGAGUGUGACAGCCACGUUUACCUUGGUAAACUCUCAUUAGACACGCAAUUUUUGAUUACAAGAUACGUAAAUCAUUCGAUUUAAAAACAAACACACCUUAACCCUGAGUCGAGUUGUUUGGGACUACAGCUCAAAUUGUUUGGUGGUGGUAAUGACACAUCAAAGGCUAAAUAUUGGUGUUUUAUACGAUUGCAACGGAGACCGAUAGCAAACAAGUACCGUAAGGGAACGAUGAAAAGCACCCUUUUUAGCACGUGCGUCACUCUGUGUACGCACAAGCUCCAUCGGGAGUGAAAGAGAGAGUGAAAUCGCCUGAACUUUUUUAAAUCAACACACACUGAUUUUUAAUAAAUUCAGCGAAGUACAAUCGGACAGAGUGUCUUUGGCUCUUUUUUGAGCGUGGCGGGCUGCUAUGUGUCGACUCACAUUGCAUGCUUUGCUUUCAUUCAAGACAUAACUAUUCGACCCGUUUUGAAACACGGACCAAGGAGUUCAACUGGAAUGCGAGUCGUAGAGUUAUCAAACUCUUUCGGCGAAGCGAAAGCAAAUUUUGCGCGAAUCUUUUAGAUGCAGCGCGGGCUGAUAAUGUAUGCUACGUAGAGCUUGCUGUGCGUGCACCUGCUAACUUCUGUUGGCAGGACUUAUCAAGCUAAAGAGCAAUUUAGUUGAGACCCGAAAGAUCGGUGAACUAUGCUCGGACAUGGUGAAGCCAGGUGAAAACUUGGUGGAAGCUUGCGUUGUGCGGAACUGACGUGCAAAUCGUUACCGCCUGACCUGAGUAUAGGGGCGAAAGACUCAUCGAACCAUCUAGUAGCUGGUUCCCUCCGAAGUUUCCCUCAGGAUAGCUCGAUAAUAUAACCGAGUAACACAAGGUAAAGGCAAUGAGACGCGGUAUCUGUGGGUCUUAUUUUAAUGACCUCGGCCUUCUCUCAAACUUUAAAUCUGUGCGAAAACAUAUUGUUUACUUAAAAGCAUUUUUAAUGCGUGAAACUAUGUUUCAUAUCUAACAAUUCGUAGUGGGCCAUUUCUGGUAAGCAGAACUGGCGAUGAGGGAUUCAACCUGACGUUUUCAAGAUAAGCCGGGCUUAAUCAUAUCUGCUCCAACCUUCCGAUAAACGCGAAAGGGUGUUCCGUGUGGUGCAGACAGCAGGACGGUGGCCAUGGAAGUUGGAAUCCGCUAAGGAGUGCGUAAC
This 1499-nucleotide ribosomal RNA is filed under the name Glabratella mediterranensis. Its description in RNAcentral is "eukaryotic LSU rRNA". It matches the Rfam family "Eukaryotic large subunit ribosomal RNA", at positions 23 to 1286 of the family's 3401-position model. The record is from RNAcentral. Lineage: Eukaryota; Foraminifera; Rotaliida; Glabratellidae.